UGCAGUCGACGAUGAAGCCUAGCUUGCUGGGUGGAUUAGUGGCGAACGGGUGAGUAACACGUGAGCAACCUGCCCCUGACUUUGGGAUAACUGCUGGAAACGGUAGCUAAUACUGGAUAUGACUGAUCAUCGCAUGGUGGUUGGUGGAAAGUUUUUCGGUUGGGGAUGGGCUCGCGGCCUAUCAGCUUGUUGGUGGGGUAAUGGCCUACCAAGGCGAUGACGGGUAGCCGGCCUGAGAGGGCGACCGGCCACACUGGGACUGAGACACGGCCCAGACUCCUACGGGAGGCAGCAGUGGGGAAUAUUGCACAAUGGGCGAAAGCCUGAUGCAGCGACGCCGCGUGAGGGAUGACGGCCUUCGGGUUGUAAACCUCUUUCAGUAGGGAAGAAGCGUAAGUGACGGUACCUGCAGAAGAAGCGCCGGCUAACUACGUGCCAGCAGCCGCGGUAAUACGUAGGGCGCAAGCGUUGUCCGGAAUUAUUGGGCGUAAAGAGCUUGUAGGCGGUUUGUCACGUCUGGUGUGAAAACCCACCGCUCAACGGUGGGCUUGCAUCGGGUACGGGCAGGCUAGAGUAUGGUAGGGGAAACUGGAAUUCCUGGUGUAGCGGUGAAAUGCGCAGAUAUCAGGAGGAACACCGAUGGCGAAGCAGGUUUCUGGGCCAUUACUGACGCUGAAAGCGAAAGCAUGGGGAGCGAACAGGAUUAGAUACCCUGGUAGUCCAUGCCGUAAACGUUGGGCACUAGGUGUGGGGAACAUUCCACGUUUUCCGCGCCGUAGCUAACGCAUUAAGUGCCCCCCUGGGGAGUACGGCC
This 814-nucleotide ribosomal RNA is filed under the name Arthrobacter sp. Its description in RNAcentral is "bacterial SSU rRNA". It matches the Rfam family "Bacterial small subunit ribosomal RNA", at positions 56 to 887 of the family's 1533-position model. Lineage: Bacteria; Bacillati; Actinomycetota; Actinomycetes; Micrococcales; Micrococcaceae. The record is from RNAcentral.